CGCAGGGGCAUUACGCCAUAGGGGGCGGCGAGUGAAGCGGCAACAGCUCAAAUUUGAAAUCUGGCUCUUUCAGAGUCCGAGUUGUAAUUUGCAGAGGGCGCUUUGGCUUUGGCAGCGGUCCAAGUUCCUUGGAACAGGACGUCACAGAGGGUGAGAAUCCCGUACGUGGUCGCUAGCUAUUGCCGUGUAAAGCCCCUUCGACGAGUCGAGUUGUUUGGGAAUGCAGCUCUAAAUGGGAGGUAAAUUUCUUCUAAAGCUAAAUAUUGGCCAGAGACCGAUAGCGCACAAGUAGAGUGAUCGAAAGAUGAAAAGCACUUUGGAAAGAGAGUCAAACAGCACGUGAAAUUGUUGAAAGGGAAGCGCUUGCAGCCAGACUUGCUUGCAGUUGCUCAUCCGGGCUUUUGCCCGGUGCACUCUUCUGCAGGCAGGCCAGCAUCAGUUUGGGCGGUGGGAUAAAGGUCUCUGUCAUGUACCUCUCUUCGGGGAGGCCUUAUAGGGGAGGCGACAUACCACCAGCCUAGACUGAGGUCCGCGCAUCUGCUAGGAUGCUGGCGUAAUGGCUGUAAGCGGCCCGUCUUGAAACACGGACCAAGGGAGUCUAACAUCUAUGCGAGUGUUUGGGGUGGUCCAAGCCCGAGCGGCGUAAUUGAAAGUGGAACGGGAGGUUGGGAACCCCGCCAGAGGGUGGCACCCGAUCCGACGCGAUCGCUGGGAAGUUUUACCGGAAGAGGUGAGUUUUGGAGGUAAGGGGGGCAAUGGGGCUUGG
This 766-nucleotide ribosomal RNA is filed under the name Exserohilum rostratum. Its description in RNAcentral is "partial large subunit ribosomal RNA". It matches the Rfam family "Eukaryotic large subunit ribosomal RNA", at positions 56 to 840 of the family's 3401-position model. Lineage: Eukaryota; Fungi; Ascomycota; Dothideomycetes; Pleosporales; Pleosporaceae. The record is from RNAcentral.